CCGAGAACGAAAGGUGGCUCUCGGGUCACCUUUCGCCUCCCCCCCCCCCCCCUCAUACCAUGUGAACGCGAACCCGUGGACGAACGUGAGAUUGUCUACGCUUCCGCAAGAAAACGAAAAGCA
RNAcentral lists this unclassified non-coding RNA (123 nucleotides) under soil metagenome. Its description in RNAcentral is "partial internal transcribed spacer 1". The record is from RNAcentral.